Molecule: transfer RNA, 77 nt
Filed under: Sphingobacteriales bacterium
Lineage: Bacteria; Pseudomonadati; Bacteroidota; Sphingobacteriia; Sphingobacteriales
Description: tRNA-OTHER
Rfam family: tRNA (bases 11-69)
About the family: Transfer RNA (tRNA) molecules are approximately 80 nucleotides in length.
Source: RNAcentral
GGGUUACUUCGUAAUUCAAUUGGUUAGAAAGCUUCGCUUCUGCGAAGAAGCGCGGGUUCGAAUCCCGCCCAGUCCCU